ACUUCCGUAGGUGAACCUGCGGAAGG
This 26-nucleotide ribosomal RNA is filed under the name Sarcinomyces sp. MA 4629. RNAcentral's name for it is "18S ribosomal RNA". The record is from RNAcentral. RNAcentral also lists the same sequence under 1 other name. Lineage: Eukaryota; Fungi; Ascomycota; Eurotiomycetes; Chaetothyriales.